RNAcentral lists this ribosomal RNA (378 nucleotides) under uncultured bacterium. RNAcentral's name for it is "bacterial SSU rRNA". It matches the Rfam family "Bacterial small subunit ribosomal RNA", at positions 523 to 898 of the family's 1533-position model. The record is from RNAcentral.
AAACGUAGGGGGCAAGCGUUGUCCGGAAUUACUGGGCGUAAAGGGCGUGUAGGCGGCCCGCGCAAGUCAGUCGUGAAACCCACCGGCUCAACUGGUGGCUUGCGAUUGAAACUGCCGGGCUUGAGUACAGAAGAGGGAAGUGGAAUUCCCAGUGUAGCGGUGAAAUGCGUAGAUAUUGGGAGGAACACCAGUGGCGAAAGCGGCUCCCUGGCCUGUAACUGACGCUGAGGCGCGAAAGCGUGGGUAGCAAACAGGAUUAGAUACCCUGGUAGUCCACGCCGUAAACGAUGGGUGCUAGGUGUUGAGGGUAUCGACCCCCCCAGUGCCGCAGUUAACGCACUAAGCACCCCGCCUGGGGACUACGGCCGCAAGGCUAAA